This 1825-nucleotide ribosomal RNA is filed under the name Escherichia coli. Its description in RNAcentral is "partial 23S ribosomal RNA". It matches the Rfam family "Bacterial large subunit ribosomal RNA", at positions 344 to 2157 of the family's 2925-position model. The record is from RNAcentral. Lineage: Bacteria; Pseudomonadati; Pseudomonadota; Gammaproteobacteria; Enterobacterales; Enterobacteriaceae.
GGAAAGGCGCGCGAUACAGGGUGACAGCCCCGUACACAAAAAUGCACAUGCUGUGAGCUCGAUGAGUAGGGCGGGACACGUGGUAUCCUGUCUGAAUAUGGGGGGACCAUCCUCCAAGGCUAAAUACUCCUGACUGACCGAUAGUGAACCAGUACCGUGAGGGAAAGGCGAAAAGAACCCCGGCGAGGGGAGUGAAAAAGAACCUGAAACCGUGUACGUACAAGCAGUGGGAGCACGCUUAGGCGUGUGACUGCGUACCUUUUGUAUAAUGGGUCAGCGACUUAUAUUCUGUAGCAAGGUUAACCGAAUAGGGGAGCCGAAGGGAAACCGAGUCUUAACUGGGCGUUAAGUUGCAGGGUAUAGACCCGAAACCCGGUGAUCUAGCCAUGGGCAGGUUGAAGGUUGGGUAACACUAACUGGAGGACCGAACCGACUAAUGUUGAAAAAUUAGCGGAUGACUUGUGGCUGGGGGUGAAAGGCCAAUCAAACCGGGAGAUAGCUGGUUCUCCCCGAAAGCUAUUUAGGUAGCGCCUCGUGAAUUCAUCUCCGGGGGUAGAGCACUGUUUCGGCAAGGGGGUCAUCCCGACUUACCAACCCGAUGCAAACUGCGAAUACCGGAGAAUGUUAUCACGGGAGACACACGGCGGGUGCUAACGUCCGUCGUGAAGAGGGAAACAACCCAGACCGCCAGCUAAGGUCCCAAAGUCAUGGUUAAGUGGGAAACGAUGUGGGAAGGCCCAGACAGCCAGGAUGUUGGCUUAGAAGCAGCCAUCAUUUAAAGAAAGCGUAAUAGCUCACUGGUCGAGUCGGCCUGCGCGGAAGAUGUAACGGGGCUAAACCAUGCACCGAAGCUGCGGCAGCGACGCUGAUGCGUUGUUGGGUAGGGGAGCGUUCUGUAAGCCUGCGAAGGUGUGCUGUGAGGCAUGCUGGAGGUAUCAGAAGUGCGAAUGCUGACAUAAGUAACGAUAAAGCGGGUGAAAAGCCCGCUCGCCGGAAGACCAAGGGUUCCUGUCCAACGUUAAUCGGGGCAGGGUGAGUCGACCCCUAAGGCGAGGCCGAAAGGCGUAGUCGAUGGGAAACAGGUUAAUAUUCCUGUACUUGGUGUUACUGCGAAGGGGGGACGGAGAAGGCUAUGUUGGCCGGGCGACGGUUGUCCCGGUUUAAGCGUGUAGGCUGGUUUUCCAGGCAAAUCCGGAAAAUCAAGGCUGAGGCGUGAUGACGAGGCACUGCGGUGCUGAAGCAACAAAUGCCCUGCUUCCAGGAAAAGCCUCUAAGCAUCAGGUAACAUCAAAUCGUACCCCAAACCGACACAGGUGGUCAGGUAGAGAAUACCAAGGCGCUUGAGAGAACUCGGGUGAAGGAACUAGGCAAAAUGGUGCCGUAACUUCGGGAGAAGGCACGCUGAUAUGUAGGUGAAGUCCCUCGCGGAUGGAGCUGAAAUCAGUCGAAGAUACCAGCUGGCUGCAACUGUUUAUUAAAAACACAGCACUGUGCAAACACGAAAGUGGACGUAUACGGUGUGACGCCUGCCCGGUGCCGGAAGGUUAAUUGAUGGGGUUAGCGCAAGCGAAGCUCUUGAUCGAAGCCCCGGUAAACGGCGGCCGUAACUAUAACGGUCCUAAGGUAGCGAAAUUCCUUGUCGGGUAAGUUCCGACCUGCACGAAUGGCGUAAUGAUGGCCAGGCUGUCUCCACCCGAGACUCAGUGAAAUUGAACUCGCUGUGAAGAUGCAGUGUACCCGCGGCAAGACGGAAAGACCCCGUGAACCUUUACUAUAGCUUGACACUGAACAUUGAGCCUUGAUGUGUAGGAUAGGUGGGAGGCUU